CCCAGGCACCCUGAAAACAAAUUUUUAAAUUAUUAAUUAUUUUUUGUUUAUGAUAGCACAUAACCAUUGAAUAUUUUGUUAUUGUAUUUGUGUGCUUGUUUAUGUGUUUACUUUCUGACUCUUCUUACUGGGAUGUAAAGUCUGACUUGUUCAAAGCUUUACUUCCUUCCUAGAUGAGGGCCACAUUCUAUGGAAGGUGCUUAAUAAAUGUUGUUCAGUGCUGUUAAAUUCCAGUCUUGGCUAUUGACAAGUGCAAGAAGAAUGAAGUACUAUGCCUCUGAGACUACCUGGAAAAGAUUUGUCACCAAGGGUCACACUCCCCGGGAAUCAUCUGGCCACCAUUCACUCAUGCCUGGAAUAUCACAGUGGGAAAGAUUACCAAGCUUCAUCCAAAGACCACUUUAUAAAGACCUCUGAUAAAUCAAAUGAAGGAGCAGGUCUUGGUGAGAGUAUCCUUAAUGAUGGAGAUUCAAGACUCAGAGCCUUGCCUGUAUUCUGAUUGUUCUAAACAUAGCAACAGGACCACAACGAAAUGCUGGAAAGAAGAGGGAAUGGCAAAAUUGGCCUAAGCAAAUUUUUUUUUCACGUUUGGUCAGAAAAGAUUUUCAAAAAUAGCCACUUAGUUUUGAAGUUAAGACUCCAUCACAGAUAUUAUUCAUCACAGUAAUUUAUAUUGGACAUUCAACCAUAUUUUUAAAGUUAAUUCACAGGGGAAAAGAAAUGAAUGAAUGAAACAAAAUUUAAAAACCACGUAGUUGUUCAAUGUCAUGAAUGUUGCUGGACACAGCCCUGCUCUUACACCGUGGUUCUGGUUGCUUAUUUCCAAUUGAGACUAUCUGACCUGCGCCGGUAUUAAUUGAUUGUUUUCAAGAAUCCUACUAUGUGUGUCUGUAAAGAUUAGGAUGUUAGCUGCAUUUUCUUUCAUAAAUAACUAAUAUGGGAGAGGCAGAAAGUAUCUGUUACAUGGUAAACCUCUAGCCUUGCUACUGAGUGUGGUCCACCACCAGCAGCCUUGUCAUCUCCAGGAAGCUUGCAAAAUCUCAAGUCCCCACCCAGACCUGCCUGAUCAGACUCUGCGUGUAAUAGGGUCUCCAGGUGAUUUAUAUGUGCAUUUACAUUUGAGAAGCAUUGCUUUGGAAUAGCAUCUGAGAGACACCUUCAGGUAUAGAUAUUUUAUGUAACUCAUAAUCACCAGGAAGUAAUAAGUGAUAGAUGAAAAAAUAAAGAAUACUUUGAAGAGGCAGUAGGAUUAUACUCCUACACGUGUAGCAGUUGAAAUUUCCUUCUUUGAAAUUGACUUUGAACUCCAUAAACAUAAACAUAAAUGAAUGCCAAGGGAACAAAUAGGUCCUGUUAGAAGAUUAUGUGUUUUGCCAUCUUAUAACUUUCCUUUUAUGUUGUUUCCUUUUAUGUUAUGUAAUAUUGAUAAUCUCUCUAUAUCUUAUUAGUGGUCUAGGGUUUUUUUUUUUUUUUUGUUAUUGUAUUAAGAGGGGAAAAAAACCUCGCCCAGGCAUUCCUCAGCAUUUCCUUGUGGAUGUCUAGAUAAUCUCCCUUCCAGCCUCCUUGAGAUCUACUCAGCCUGGCCUAAUUCUUGAGAGUUUCCAAAAUUCACACAUCCCACCAGCAAAAAAAAAGAAAAAAAAAAGUAGAAACAUAUUUCAGAUUUUGCUUAGGCUACUUUUUAAACAUUAGAUUUAGUUUUACCCACGAUACUUCUUUUAAAAACACAUUAAAUGAAGACCAGCAAGGAGCAAUCAAAAUUAUAAAAAUGCAGGAGGCAUAUCCCCUCAAGCAAAAAAUUUGAGGCCCACAUAAGUUAGUCUAGGGAAAUGAGACCGGUGGAAGGCCUAAACACACAUGUUCACAACCACAGCAUAUGACACAGAGCCGUACAGCUCAUGAACAUCAAACAUACCAUUAGUCAUCGCGGGCUAAAAUUGGAAUUCCCAAUCAAAGGAAUCUAUACAGUACUAACCAGAGCACUAAAUAAUAAUGAUGGUGCAAAUCAUGCAAGCUGACAUCCUAGGUGUGAGUCACGAGCCGUUCUCACAACUCCAAAGGGCAGUUAUAAUAAAUAUUUAUCCCAUUGAAACACUUUUUUUAACUCAUAUUCUCUCCUUUAUCUACUCUCAUUCACCUGUCAAUGUCAAAACAUUUUACCUACUUUCCCCACUUUUGUACCAUUAAAUCCGUCACCACCUCUCCCAGUACUCUACUACCCCUGCCUUUGAUUUCCUCUGCUCCUGCAUCCUCUUGGGGAACACAAAUUUCCAAAGUAGGACCUACUUCAAGGGUUGGGGGACUGACUUUUUCGGCUUUCUAAUAGACCCCAGGAAAACAUAGCCAAAAUCUGAGUUUAGGUAAAUUGUCAAUUAUGGCUUCUUAUAGUUUAGAAAUAAUCAUUUAAAACAUUUAUAGCUCAUUAUGGCUUUAAAUUAACUCAGAGGUUACUCUUCUUUUAUUUUUACAAGAUCCCAAUGUGACGGGUAGUGUGGUUAUUGCCAUCAUACCCAUUUAUGGAGAUGUCAUUAAGUUUGAGGCAAAGUUCAGUGGUAAGCUGAGAUCGAAACAUACUUUUUGUAACCCUAAGUAGUCUCAGAGAGCUGCUUUGGAGAUUUUGUUGUUGUAGCUAUUUCUUCAGAAGCUGGCACACCUGAAUAUGAAAUUAUAAAAAGUUUACUCCACUUACAAUCUUCUACAAUCGGAAAUAAAUUCUGAAAUCCUAGAAAGGUUUCAGCCAGAGGAUGCCUUGUCACACAGUAAAGCAUCAAAUGUUUGGUAAUGGAGAGAAUAACGGGGUGGGGGGGGGGUUGUUUGUUUGUUUCAGGUUUGUGUUUUGUUUUUGUUUUUACUAUGCAACUGUGUCAAUGUAUGGUUUUUCAACAGCAGGGAGGAGGAGCAAAGUGGCGAAAAUCAAGUCUUCCUGCCAUUUUGUUCUCAACCCCUGUGUUAUUGGACUCGUUCGUCGUGGAUUAAGUGUCAGAGAUAGUAAACUUAGCAUUAGUUAAGAUGUCUGAGAGCCAAGAUAGAUAUCUCAUGCUAGUUCCAGUUAAAACCCUGGUUUUUCUCUUUAAAUGUGCAAAGCAAAGAAAUGGAAGAAGCGGUAACUCAAAAUGAAAACCAGAGCCUGAGGUGGGGAAGCCAGGCAGGUCGCUGGUCCCUGAAAAGGGUUGUGCAAAAGGUUCUCCCUUCUGCUUGAGCUUUCACUGUUAAUACACAUUUGCAGAGUGAAUAAGGGAAGACUUGACUGUAGUUUAAAUACUUGUUGUGAAAUCAAACUGUGAAUCUUCUUUUCCUACCUCAUCUUUCCUCAUUUUGCACUGUCCACUCUCCUCCCUUUCCAUGAGACAGUAGAGAUGCGUGCUCCCUGAUGUGCUCCUUAUCUGCAGACCAAGUCCCUUCCCCUAUUUGUUGGCAUCAUUCCUUGAGAUUAGUUAAGGUCAAAGUUAUUACAUUUCUCUUUCUUUCGAAGGACACUGUAAAUUGUUUGAGCUUCUACUUAGACAACAUUAAACAAAGUUGAAAGACCUGUUUUUC
Molecule: long non-coding RNA, 3537 nt
Organism: Leopardus geoffroyi (Geoffroy's cat)
Lineage: Eukaryota; Metazoa; Chordata; Mammalia; Carnivora; Felidae
Exons: 2
Source: RefSeq, a predicted model, not a curated record